UAGGGAAUCUUCCGCAAUGGACGAAAGUCUGAUGGAGCAACGCCGCGUGAGUGAAGAAGGAUUUCGGUUCGUAAAACUCUGUUGUUAGGGAAGAAAAAAUGUAUAGUAACUAUAUACAAAAGAGACGGUACCUAACCAGAAAGCCACGGCUAACUACGUGCCAGCAGCCGCGGUAAUACGUAGGUGGCAAGCGUUGUCCGGAAUUAUUGGGCGUAAAGCGCGCGCAGGUGGUUUAGAAAGUCUGAUGUGAAAGCCCACGACUCAACCGUGGAGGGUCAUUGGAAACUAAUAAACUGGAGUGCAGGAGAGAAAAGUGGAAUUCCUAGUGUAGCGGUGAAAUGCGUAGAGAUUAGGAGGAACACCGGUGGCGAAAGCGGCUUUUUGGCCUGCAACUGACACUGAGGCGCGAAAGCGUGGGGAGCAAACAGG
This 429-nucleotide ribosomal RNA is filed under the name Verrucomicrobiota bacterium. RNAcentral describes it as "Verrucomicrobia bacterium partial 16S ribosomal RNA". It matches the Rfam family "Bacterial small subunit ribosomal RNA", at positions 355 to 776 of the family's 1533-position model. Lineage: Bacteria; Pseudomonadati; Verrucomicrobiota. The record is from RNAcentral.